CAGUACAUAACUGUCCGUACUUGCGUUCUGACGUACUCGUGAAACGUCAUCAUCGAGACUGCAUCGGACCAGACUAGUGGCAUAGAUAUGAAUCAGUAAAUAGGACACGCCCAUAGAUAUGAAUCAGUCGAUAGGACACGCCCCUUUGAGCUGCGUGCUACAGCGAGGCUAAGCUAGUGGGGGCAAAGUUUCAGUGCAUUGAUGUAGACUGCGUGAAAAAGGAAACAAGUAUGCCGUCUCACUGUGCUGCAUACAGUUGCACACUACGUCGUACGAUUGAGACCUUAGGCUGUAUAUUUAUAUACAGUCUAUGAUUGAGACAAGGAAACUUGGAAUGACUUUUCAUUGCCACCAACCACUGGAACACAUCUCCAAAGUUCUGCCUGGCCAGCUCAGCUUCCCCUCAGAAGAAGUGCCGCCACCUGCCAGAUGAAGGAGCCUUUUGAGAGGCAGCUGGCAUCGUGAUUGGACUGUACUUUGGUCUGUUCCAAUCCAGCUUCAGCUCCAGAGACGGCAGGCGGGACGAGUCAACGGAGGCCGGGUGGACGAAGGCAUGCAGCUGAGUACAAUCUAGAAAACAACAGAGGAAGAAACAAACAUAGUGUAUACAUCAUAUACUGUAUAAAAGACACAUCCACUGUAGAAUUGUAGUAAUUGUGGGCUGACUGAUUUACUGAUUAGCAGUAUUUUAUUUUUUACUGAUUUACGGUAAUAAAUCAAUUUAAAAAUGG
Molecule: long non-coding RNA, 731 nt
Organism: Amphiprion ocellaris (clown anemonefish)
Lineage: Eukaryota; Metazoa; Chordata; Actinopteri; Pomacentridae
Exons: 2
Source: RefSeq, a predicted model, not a curated record